AAUUAUUAUUAUUAAUUUUUAAUUAGAAGUGAAAUAUUAAACGAUUUUAAAUAUAUCUAGUUUUUUUAGAAUUGAAUUAAAUUCAGCUUUAAAAUUUUUUGAAAUAAAUUAAAUAAAUUUAUUUAUGAAUUAAAUAUUUUAAAGUAAAUAUAUUCGGGAUAAAUUGAUUAUAUGAGUUAUAAAUUAAUUUUAAUUUAUUUUAAAAGUAAUUAUAAAAUUAUAUUUCUUUUUAAAAAAUGUUUUAAUUUAUAUUUUUAAAUUUAUAUAGUAUAAUUUAAUUUUUAUUUUAAUAAUUUAUAAAAAUUUAAUAUUAAAUUAUUUUAUUUUAAAUAUAAUGAUUAUAUAAGUAAAUAUUAAUAAAAUGAAAUAAAUAAUUAUAAAAUUUUAAAAUUUAGAUUUAAGGAAUUAGGCAAAUAUUUUUAAAAUAAAAAUUUAUAUUUACCUGUUUAUCAAAAACAUGUCUUAUUGAUUUAAAUAAUAAGUUUAUUCUGCCCAUUGAAAUAGAAAUUUUAAAAGGCUGCAGUAUAUUAACUGUACAAAGGUAGCAAAAUAAAUAGUUUUUUAAUUGAAAACUUGAAUGAAAGAAUUAAUAAAAUAUAUUCUGUCUCAAAUUUAAUUGAUUUAUUAAAUUUAAAUAAAAAGUUAAAAUGCUUUUAUAAUUUUAUUAGACGAUAAGACCCUAAGAAUUUAAUAAUUUUAUUUUAUUAAUUAAAUUUUAUAAUUAAUUAAUUAAUAAAAUAAAAUUUUUUUAUUGGGAGGGUAAUUAAAUUUUUAAACUUUAAUUUUUAAUAAA
Molecule: ribosomal RNA, 793 nt
Filed under: Polistes formosanus
Lineage: Eukaryota; Metazoa; Arthropoda; Insecta; Hymenoptera; Vespidae
Description: partial 16S rRNA
Source: RNAcentral